Glycine soja is the source of this 1779-nucleotide RNA transcript. It is a transcript of the gene named trihelix transcription factor GT-3b-like, with no coding region annotated. The record is from RefSeq and is a predicted model, not a curated record. The transcript is spliced from 3 exons. NCBI's taxonomy places the organism in Eukaryota, Viridiplantae, Streptophyta, Magnoliopsida, Fabales, Fabaceae.
UACGCAUUUCACACCUGAUGUUCACACCACACCCCCACCUACAUAUAUAUUCUUCCUCUCUUUUUCUCUCUCAUCUUUUGCUUCUCUCUCUCUCCACCAUAACCAAAACAUAAAAAACACCCUUCAAUAACUUCUUUCUCUUCUCUAUUGGAUUUCAAUCUCUCCCUCUCACUCUGAUUUUUUUUUUUCUUUUUCAAUUUUCAUGGAGGGUCAUCAUCUCCAUCACCGGCAACAACAAUUACAACAACAUCACCACCCUCAUCACAACAUCACAACUAGUAACGUGGAUGCCACGGAUAGGUUCCCCCAAUGGAGCAUCCAAGAGACCAAAGAGUUCCUCGUGAUCCGUGCCGAGCUGGAUCAGACUUUCAUGGAGACAAAGAGGAACAAACAGCUUUGGGAAGUCAUCUCCAACCGGAUGAAGGAAAAGGGUUUCCAUAGAAGUGCAGAACAGUGCAAGUGCAAGUGGAAAAACCUCGUUACCCGCUACAAGGGAUGUGAAACGAUGGAGCCGGAAGCGAUGAGGCAGCAAUUCCCGUUCUACAACGAGCUUCAAGCGAUUUUCGCGGCGAGAAUGCAGAGAAUGUUGUGGGCGGAAGCAGAAGGAGGAGGGUCCAAUAAUAAGAAGAAGGGGAUGCACCUUUCUUCCGACGACGAGGAAGAAGGCAAUGAAGAGAUGAUGAGCGAGGGGGAUCACAAGGGUAACAUCAUCAUCAGCAAGAAGAACAAGAAGAAGGGAAAGAUGGUAAUUGGCGUCGGAGGGAGUGGUAACAACAACAAUAGUAGUAGUAGUAGUAACAACUUGGAGAGUUUGAAGGAGAUCAUGGACGAGUUCAUGAGGCAGCAGAUGCAAAUGGAGGCACAGUGGAUGGAAGCCUUUGAGGCAAGGGAGAAUGAGAGGAGGCUGAAGGAGAUGGAGUGGAGGCAAACCAUGGAGGCGUUGGAGAAUGAGAGGUUAAUGAUGGACCAAAGGUGGAGGGAGAGGGAAGAACAAAGAAGGAUUAGGGAAGAAGUUAGGGCUGAUAAGAGAGAUGCUCUAAUCACUGCUCUUCUUAACAAGCUCAGAAGAGAAGAGAUGUAGUAGUUUCUUUUGGCUGGAUAGAUAGCUAGCUUUUAUGUGUCUUUCUUCUUCUCAUGAAGCAAAGCUUAAUUUAAGAGCUAGGUGAUUUCAAUUUUGCAUGCAAGAGUUCAUAUUCCGAAUGGUUACUGACAUUGACCCUGUGCAUGUGAGAGAGCUAGCUAGGACAUCAUCAUGAUCAUAUUAGUACCAGAAUUUCAGCCUCAGGUAUGAACUUAUGACUUUAAAGUGGCAAUUAACACAUUCAUUAAGCCGUGUCAUCUGUGAUAAAUUGAUUUUUUUAAUUAAUAAAAUAAUUUAAAGAUAACAAAAGGAAGAUCACAGAGAUCAGUGAUAGAAAAGGAAAUGUUUGUUCAAAAUAUAAAAGCUAAGAUUGCAUGAUAACCUUUUGUCUUUAAAUUUAUAUAUGCGUGCGGUGUUUGUAGGGUAUAUAUGUUUACAUGUAUAUAUGUGUUUUAAGAAUUGGAUGUGCAUGUUAAACAAUUAUUUUUGCGUCUAGUUAUUAUUUGGAUUUUAUUCUCAAUGACAUGUGACCUAGUUACACGUAUUUAGUCUUAAAUCUUUGGGAUUUAUGCAGCAAAGGAACUCCAGAUCAAAAUGAAAGAAAAAAAACACCAAAAUCCAAUCACAGUUUAUUAUAGCAUAAUUUUGUGGGUUCACUUUGCUUAGUGUGAUAUUUAUUUCUAAAUGAGUGUUUGUAA